This 113-nucleotide ribosomal RNA is filed under the name uncultured bacterium. Its description in RNAcentral is "partial 16S ribosomal RNA". It matches the Rfam family "Bacterial small subunit ribosomal RNA", at positions 355 to 466 of the family's 1533-position model. The record is from RNAcentral.
UGAGGAAUAUUGGUCAAUGGGCGAGAGCCUGAACCAGCCAAGUCGCGUGAGGGAAGACGGCCCUACGGUUGUAAACCUCUUUUGUCAGGGAGCAAGAACAGGCACGCGUGCCU